GAUGAAGAACGCAGCGAAAUGCGAUAAGUAAUGUGAAUUGCAGAAUUCAGUGAAUCAUCGAAUCUUUGAACGCAUCUUGCGCUCCUUGGUAUUCUGAGGAGCAUGCCUGUUUGAGUGUCAUUAAAUUCUCAACUACACUGACUUUGAAUUGGUGUGGCUUGGAUUUGGGGGGAAAAUUGUUGUGGGCUUUUUGUAUAGUCUGCUCCCCUGAAAUUGAUUAGCGGUACCUUUGUGGAACUGUCUACAGGUGUGAUAAUUAUCUACAUCUUAGACAUCUGCUGGAAUGCUGCUUUCUAAACCUUACUUGUAUUGACAAUCUUGACCUCAAAUCGGGUAGGACUACCCGCUGAACUUAAGCAUAUCAAUAAGCGGAGGA
Molecule: unclassified non-coding RNA, 376 nt
Filed under: soil metagenome
Description: partial contains 5.8S ribosomal RNA, internal transcribed spacer 2, and large subunit ribosomal RNA
Rfam family: 5.8S ribosomal RNA (bases 1-120)
Source: RNAcentral